This 253-nucleotide ribosomal RNA is filed under the name uncultured bacterium. RNAcentral describes it as "partial 16S ribosomal RNA". It matches the Rfam family "Bacterial small subunit ribosomal RNA", at positions 524 to 776 of the family's 1533-position model. The record is from RNAcentral.
UACGUAGGGGGCAAGCGUUGUCCGGAAUCAUUGGGCGUAAAGAGCGUGUAGGCGGCUCGAUAAGUCUGCUGUGAAAGUCCAGGGCUCAACCCUGGAAGGCCGGUGGAAACUGUCGGGCUAGAGUCCGGAAGAGGCGAGUGGAAUUCCCGGUGUAGCGGUGAAAUGCGCAGAUAUCGGGAGGAACACCGAUGGCGAAGGCAGCUCGCUGGGACGGUACUGACGCUGAGACGCGAAAGCGUGGGGAGCAAACAGG